RNAcentral lists this long non-coding RNA (2713 nucleotides) under Homo sapiens (human). Its description in RNAcentral is "HSALNT0230623". Lineage: Eukaryota; Metazoa; Chordata; Mammalia; Primates; Hominidae. The record is from RNAcentral.
GAAGAAACUGAGGUUAAAUGGGGAUCUUUUCUCUAUCAAGGUCAUAAAAAUGAGCUGGUGGCAGAGCUAGAAUCAGAGUUUAGAUUUUCCAACUGCAAAUCAAACAUUCUCUUCUCACAUGAAAAUUCAUCUUUCCCAUAAGUUCUGGUCACCUGACAUUGGAACUAUGAAGAAUAUAUAAGGGAAAUAAGAUUGCAAUAAAUCAUAAUAGUACUAUGUCCUAGACACUGUGCUUUAAUUGAUGACUCUAUAAAGUAGAUAUGAUGACUACUGUUGUGUUGUUAUUUGUUGUUGUUUCUUAUUGCUGUUAUUCUUAUUAUCAUCAUCAUCACACUUCCUUUACAAUGAAGAAAUUAAGGUUUAGAGAGGUUUAGUAACUUACCUAAGGUCACAGAGAUAGCAAGAAGCUGAACAGGGAUUUGGACUUAGAUUUGUCUCCAAAAUGUGUGGCUCCUUCACUAACACACUGUUCUACCUUACUAUUUUCUUCUUUGCUUGCUUUGAAAACAUUUGGUUUUAUGUUCACCUACAUGAAAUGCACUAAAUCUCUGGUGAUGGCAGUGUUUUACAUUUCUAACCAGAUGCAGCUGAGCAGAUCAAUGCAUGAAGUAAAUCACAAAAUAGAGAUUGAACUUAACAGGGAAAAUAUAGAGAACGCAGGAAAACACCCAGAUUGAGAUUUGGCUGCCCAAGCUGCAAAUACUUAGGAAACCAAACAACUGGCCUGACCUCAAGCACAACCCAAAUUCUCGAACCUCAUAUAAAGUGUGAACCUAAGAUACUUAAGAGAAGCCACUAAUUUCUGGUUCAGAGUGAAAAUAAGGGCACCUACAAAACAGGGAGAGUGAGGAAUGAAGCCAUUGAAGCAACUUGGACGUCGGGAAUUCACUGAAGACCAGACUAAAGAGGGGCUUGUUCUAAUAGAAAUUCAUCUAAAAAGUUGGAGAUUCUGUAGAAGAUCUGAUGAAGAGGGCCAAUCACUGAGGAAAAAUGGAUAGCAUCCUAAAACACCCACAGAAGCUCACGGAUUACUCCUGUGUUGCCUAACAACUCCAAGGAAAUUAGAACUCCUUUCCAGGAACUCUCAUGCAAGUCCUGGGAUUCAGUAUCAUGGGAUCAACUAGGUCACAUGUCCCUCACUGUGGUUAGCAGGAAGAAAAAACCCAGCUGGCUAAACCGGAGCCACAAGCUCAUUCUUGAAGCUGAGGGAGUGCGUCCACCCCCAUUUGAAUCAUAUGGACUGAUGGGGAGAUCCCCAAAGAAAACUUAAAGAACUAUUAGCAGAAGAAGAGAAAAACGAAAGUACGUCAGCUAAAAUAGCAAAGAGAUGAAUCUGCAGAAGUCCCAGGGAUACCUUGGUCAUAAGAAGUCUCAGGUACAAGUUAUCCAAGAUGGAACAGGAGUUCAAGAGCACAUCUAUUUACUGGACAAAAUAAAGCUCCAUGGUAAGACAGUUUGCAUCUGACAGUCCACUUGUGGCCAUUCCCCCACAUCCCACUCUCUCGAUGAGAACUGAGACCUUCAAUUCAGUGGUACCUGGGCUCAGGAACAGCCUGAAGGUAAGAGCUCUGCCCCACCACCUUGGACAAUGAGGACAUUUAAAGAGACUUAGUGGACCAAGCAUGAUGCAGAGGAAGAAAUAUGGGCUCAGACUUCUGUGCUGAGAAGCUGAGAAGCAGAACAAAAGGAAGGAAAUUUCCCCCAGGUUCUGAAAUAGUCAAGCUGUCACUCAAUAAGAUGAGAGAUUGGGCAGUCACAGAGAAAACAGAGAUUUGGCCAGGGAUUUUGCCCGUGGAAUCACAAUCUGGAAAUGUUUCUUUCUGGCUGCCCUGGAAGUUCACCAUUUCCAAGCUGCAUGAGAAGCUGAAUGGGCUCUUUCUCCAAUGGAUUGAUCAUUGUGCCCAAGCUAAUUACUGCCUUAAUACCCUACCUCCUGCAGAUGGCAAAUUGGGCACAGAUAAGACAAGUGGCUGGUCCAAAACCACAGGCUGAGUCAGUGGCAGGGAUGGGAGUAAGGUUGAGUAACCAGUGGCCCUUCCUUUUGUUACCCUGGCCAAGAAGCAAGCCCUGCCAGAGCAGCUGCCCUUCCCUGGUGCACUGAGAUGGGCUGGGAUGACAUAGUUGAGCCCUGCUCCACCCUCUGCUCCCUAGCUUCCCAGGUGAGCUGUGGCCUGCAGAUCUGCUGUGCUGGGAGAAUCUGCUUGCUGCAGGAUAAUAUUAGCUCACUUUUAUUGCCAUGGGCUGGGCGCCCUCCGGCAGCUUGGCUGUAAACCUUUGAUCCACUGGGCUCCAGGAGCUGCAGAUUUUGACUGUGUGCUCAGCCCUAGACUCCCCACACACUGCAUGGGGCAGGCAGAGAAAGGAGGGGCCCACAGGCAGAAAUUCAACUCCUCUGCAGCCACCUCAAAAAACAGCAGCACUCUGAGGCAGUCAGGUUAGAAGGGGAGAGGGACACUGUUUCACCAUCGUGUUCUCCAAGACCCACCAGUGAGUGUUCCCCAGACCCAGAUGCUUGUAUACCACGCUCAUGAUUUGCCCCAUAAUAACUGCAUUAUUUAUUUUGUAUUUUUAUUUAAAUUAAUUCACCAUGGAUGGUAAAACUCAAAUUUAUUUUGAAAGAAGUUUCAGAAUACUUCCACAAAUAGAAAACUAAUACCACUUGCUUUUUUGUGGGAAUUGAACAAUGAGAACACAUGGACACAGGAAGGGGAAC